CCUACGGGAGGCAGCAGUGGGGAAUCUUGCACAAUGGGGGAAACCCUGAUGCAGCGAUGCCGCGUGAGUGAAGAAGGCCCUUGGGUUGUAAAACUCUUUCGUCGGGGAAGAAAAUGACUGUACCCGAAUAAGAAGGUCCGGCUAACUUCGUGCCAGCAGCCGCGGUAAUACGAAGGGACCUAGCGUAGUUCGGAAUUACUGGGCUUAAAGAGCUCGUAGGUGGUUAAAAAAGUUGAUGGUGAGAUCCCAAGGCUCAACCUUGGAACUGCCAUCAAAACUUUUUAGCUAGAGUGUGAUAGAGGUAAGUGGAAUUUCUAGUGUAGAGGUGAAAUUCGUAGAUAUUAGAAAGAACACCAAAAGCGAAGGCAACUUACUGGGUCACUACUGACACUGAGGAGCGAAAGCAUGGGUAGCGAGGAGGAUUAGAUACCCUCGUAGUCCAUGCCGUAAACGAUGUGUGCUAGACGUUGGAAAUAUAUUUUUCAGUGUCGCAGCGAAAGCAUUAAGCACACCGCCUGGGGAGUACGACCGCAAGGUUAAAACUCAAAUGAAUUGACGG
RNAcentral lists this ribosomal RNA (559 nucleotides) under uncultured bacterium. RNAcentral's name for it is "bacterial SSU rRNA". It matches the Rfam family "Bacterial small subunit ribosomal RNA", at positions 338 to 916 of the family's 1533-position model. The record is from RNAcentral.